GCCCUUUAACAAUAUAAAAGCUGAACAAAAAAAUCCUUCAAUUCUAACUCCAAUGCGCGUGGUUUUUGAGUGUAUACAUGCAUUUUGCCACGUAGGAUUGCAGUGUUUAUUUGUUCAGGUUUUGUAUAGUUAAAGGGUUCACUUAUGCACUGUCAAAGUUUAAGGUUAAUGUUAGCAGCUAAAAAUUAGCCCUAUGGCAACGGUUCAAAAACCGCUGCCAUAGAUCUACUGCAAUGGUUAGGCAGGCGUUGCGUAUGCGAGCGUUGGGAUAGGUCUAUCAUAACGGUUAUUGCGACGGUUAUGACAAUCGUUGCAAUAGAUAGAUCUAUUGCAACGGUUUUUCUAACCUCCUACUGUGACGCUUUGUAUCGUCUAUUUAGAAUCAUAUUUAUGUAUUAUGCUUUUUUUUUUUUGAAGUUGAGAAGGUAGAGCAAGGCUUAAAUGUAGGGCCUUGAUACCCAUUCGUUGAUGUUUAAUGAUGAAAAACAUACAAGAAAA
Molecule: long non-coding RNA, 498 nt
Filed under: Capsicum annuum
Lineage: Eukaryota; Viridiplantae; Streptophyta; Magnoliopsida; Solanales; Solanaceae
Description: long non-coding RNA (CANN_LNC018324)
Source: RNAcentral